Rhinopithecus roxellana (golden snub-nosed monkey) is the source of this 1462-nucleotide RNA transcript. RefSeq lists it as uncharacterized. The record is from RefSeq and is a predicted model, not a curated record. NCBI's taxonomy places the organism in Eukaryota, Metazoa, Chordata, Mammalia, Primates, Cercopithecidae. The transcript has a single exon.
CUCUCCCGGCGGCGCCCGCCCUGCCCCGCCCCUCCCGGGGGUCCCCGCCCCACCCCCUCCCUGCCGGGGGUCGCCCUGCUCGGAGCAGCCGCGCGGAGACUGCGCGGCCUCCGCCUCUGCGCUCGCAGCCGUCGCUCCUCGCCCGCCUUUGUUCUCGGGCCGCCCCUCUCGCUGGCGACGCUCCGAGAGAGCCGCGGAGCCACCUGCCAGGGCCGCGCUUCCCCGAGCAUCCAAAGCUGCCUCCGGGGGCUGUCGACGCCCGCGCAGGAGCGUGCGGGAGGCACGGCGGGAAGAAGUCGCUGAGAUUUGGCCCUCUCGGCUUUGCGUUCCCGCGUGGUUGAUGCCUCCGCGGAGAACGCGGUCGGCCGGGAGCCGGGGAGGAGCCUGGACGCUGGCCUGGCAGGUACCCCCGCGAGAACGCGGGAGCCGGUGUGUUUCAGAUGCAUUUAUUACUGGUCUCGGGCUGCAUCAGGGCACUUCUAGGACCGCACUAAAAACAGCGGAAAGUGAGGCGCCGAGCCUGGGUCGGGGUGGCCCGCCGUACAGCUGGCCUCACGGACUCCAUUGCCUGUGUCUGCAGAUGACUUGUUCUGGAGAGUAAAAAAUGUUCUCGGAUUUAAAGUACAAUCCUGUUUCCUUUCCAUUCAUUAGUGUUGCCUACAAUCCUCAAACAAAAGUUGGUAAAGAUAUAGGGAUUAUUUCUAGCGCAUCACAUUGACAAACACCGACGUUAACACGCCCAGUCCAGCCUGGCUCACUUGCGUCAGGUCGGAGAGGUCACCAAUGACAACGCCGGGCCUUCAAGCCACUCCUAAUCCAGCUUCGUUCUCUCAGCCGCAGCCAGACCAGCCUACUCGCCUCUGCCCCACCUCGUGCAGGUGUAAGCUUCCGCUGCACUCCUUGUCUGAAUCUGCCAAGAAGAAACUGCAUCUUUCAACUAAAUUCUUUUCACUGAUAAGGGCCCUCCAGUCAGAUUCUCUGGAUAGAGUUUAGUGUUUUGUUUUGCUUUGUUUCGUUUGAAAAAAAAAAAACAAAAAAUCUCUUCAGCUAUUUGGUACUCCUUUCCCUCCGGGAUUUUGUCUCUAGAUUGUGAAAGCUGGCAGAAGAUGGAGUCAGGGAAAGCCAUGAUGGGAAGGUUCUCACUAAUAACUGCCUGAUAUAAAUAAUUGGCACAAAAGACUGCCAAAACCACAACCUUGCACAAAGGCCACAAAACUACACAAAAAAUGCUUCAAGGACAUUUGCGCUGCAACUGCCUGUCCAACCUUGGACUGGCCAUCCCCUUUGUUACUUAUCUUUGUAGCCAAGGAUAAUUGUUUCAAAACAACUUAUGUAAUCCUCCUCGUUUUUCCUUUCUAAACCCCUUGUCUUCCUUUACCUCCUUGAAUACACCUAUAGUUUACUAUGACACCAUAUUCUACAUUGCAAUGCCAGCUCUCGAAUAUUUGUCAUGUCUGGCAAA